GCCGGGAGAGUUCGACAGGCAGAACGGCAGGCCCCCACCGGGCCUGUCACGUGCGGGUUCGAUUCCCGCUCCCGGCGCCA
Molecule: transfer RNA, 80 nt
Filed under: Deinococcus cavernae
Lineage: Bacteria; Thermotogati; Deinococcota; Deinococci; Deinococcales; Deinococcaceae
Description: Deinococcus sp. K2S05-167 tRNA-Gly
Rfam family: tRNA
About the family: Transfer RNA (tRNA) molecules are approximately 80 nucleotides in length. Their secondary structure includes four short double-helical elements and three loops (D, anti-codon, and T loops).
Source: RNAcentral